Molecule: ribosomal RNA, 253 nt
Filed under: uncultured bacterium
Lineage: Bacteria
Description: partial 16S ribosomal RNA
Rfam family: Bacterial small subunit ribosomal RNA
Source: RNAcentral
UACAGAGGUCUCAAGCGUUGUUCGGAUUCAUUGGGCGUAAAGGGCGUGUAGGCGGUCCGCUAAGUCUGAUGUGAAAGCCCGGGGCUCACCCCCGGAAGGGCAUUGGAAACUGGCGGACUCGAGUCCAGGAGAGGAAGGUGGAAUUCCUGGUGUAGCGGUGAAAUGCGUAGAUAUCAGGAGGAAUACCGGUGGCGAAGGCGGCCUUCUGGACGGUGACUGACGCUGAGACGCGAAAGCGUGGGGAGCAAACAGG